AGCUUUGCGCAGUGGCAGUAUCAUAGCCAAUGAGGUUUAUCUGAGGCACGAUUAUUGCUAAUUGAAAAAGAUUGCAG
This 77-nucleotide small nuclear RNA is filed under the name Nomascus leucogenys (northern white-cheeked gibbon). Its description in RNAcentral is "U4 spliceosomal RNA". It matches the Rfam family "U4 spliceosomal RNA", at positions 1 to 77 of the family's 138-position model. From Rfam's summary of the family: U4 small nuclear RNA (U4 snRNA) is a component of the major U2-dependent spliceosome. Lineage: Eukaryota; Metazoa; Chordata; Mammalia; Primates; Hylobatidae. The record is from Rfam by way of RNAcentral.